AUGGGGCUCUGCAUGUCCAGCGGCAGCGCGCCGGCGGCGGUUCGGGCAAAGGGGCAGCUUGCCUGGACGGCUGGCCAGGUGCUGCUUCCAACGGGGGAGCUGCGGGAGUACCCGCGCCUGGCCACAGCGGGCCAGGUGCUCGACGACUCGGUGGCUGGGGACGCCGGUUGGUUCCUGUGCGACGCCGACGAGAUGGGGUUCGAUGGCCCCGUGGCCGCCGUGGCCGAGGCCGAGGAGCUCCGCCCGGGGCAGAUAUACUUCGUUCUCCCCGCUGAGGCUCUACGGAACGGCCUGCGGCCCGAGGACCUCGCCGCUCUCGCCGUCAGGGCGUCCGCGGCGCUCAUUAUUAAGGCCAACACCGCAGCAUCCUCUGCCACCGCUGGUCGACGGAGGCGCGCUGGCUCCGUGGCGCCGCUCGUUUUCGCUCCUCCCCAGGAGGUGAACGAGACCGUCGCCUACAAGACCGUGCCGGCGCUGGCGACGAAGCGGCGGCCGGUGGCGCGUGCGAAGAGUGCCGGGAGGAUGCAAUCGCGCUUCGCACCCGAUCUGACCGCCAUUCCCGAGUGCGAGUGA
Molecule: ribosomal RNA, 573 nt
Filed under: Triticum aestivum (bread wheat)
Lineage: Eukaryota; Viridiplantae; Streptophyta; Magnoliopsida; Poales; Poaceae
Description: partial small subunit ribosomal RNA
Source: RNAcentral